AGUGAACGCUGGCGGUAGGCCUAACACAUGCAAGUCGAACGGCAGCACAGUAAGAGCUUGCUCUUACGGGUGGCGAGUGGCGGACGGGUGAGGAAUACAUCGGAAUCUACUUUUUCGUGGGGGAUAACGUAGGGAAACUUACGCUAAUACCGCAUACGACCUACGGGUGAAAGCAGGAGAUCUUCGGACCUUGCGCGAUUGAAUGAGCCGAUGUCGGAUUAGCUAGUUGGCGGGGCAAAGGCCCACCAAGGCGACGAUCCGUAGCUGGUCUGAGAGGAUGAUCAGCCACACUGGAACUGAGACACGGCCCAGACUCCUACGGGAGGCAGCAGUGGGGAAUAUUGGACAAUGGGCGCAAGCCUGAUCCAGCCAUACCGCGUGUGUGAAGAAGGCCUUCGGGUUGUAAAGCCCUUUUGUUGGGAAAGAAAAGCAGCAGGUUAAUACCCCGCUGUUCUGACGGUACCCAAAGAAUAAGCACCGGCUAACUUCGUG
This 492-nucleotide ribosomal RNA is filed under the name uncultured bacterium. RNAcentral describes it as "partial 16S ribosomal RNA". It matches the Rfam family "Bacterial small subunit ribosomal RNA", at positions 29 to 507 of the family's 1533-position model. The record is from RNAcentral.